AUCCAGCUGACGAGUCCGAAAUAGGACGAAGUGUCUCGCGUCCUGGAU
Non-coding RNA from Schistosoma curassoni, 48 nucleotides. The record is from Rfam. Lineage: Eukaryota; Metazoa; Platyhelminthes; Trematoda; Strigeidida; Schistosomatidae.